This 478-nucleotide ribosomal RNA is filed under the name uncultured bacterium. Its description in RNAcentral is "bacterial SSU rRNA". It matches the Rfam family "Bacterial small subunit ribosomal RNA", at positions 28 to 507 of the family's 1533-position model. The record is from RNAcentral.
GAUGAACGCUAGCGGCAGGCCUAACACAUGCAAGUCGAGGGGUAUAGUUCUUCGGAACUAGAGACCGGCGCACGGGUGCGUAACGCGUAUGCAAUCUACCUUUUACAGGGGAAUAGCCCAGAGAAAUUUGGAUUAAUGCCCCAUAGUGUUAUAGAAUCGCAUGGUUUUAUAACUAAAGUUCCAACGGUAAAAGAUGAGCAUGCGUCCCAUUAGUUAGUUGGUAAGGUAACGGCUUACCAAGACAAUGAUGGGUAGGGGUCCUGAGAGGGAGAUCCCCCACACUGGUACUGAGACACGGACCAGACUUCUACGGGAGGCAGCAGUGAGGAAUAUUGGACAAUGGGCGCAAGCCUGAUCUAGCCAUGCCGCGUGCAGGAAGACGGUCCUAUGGAUUGUAAACUGCUUUUGUACAGGAAGAAACACUCCCUCGUGAGGGAGCUUGACGGUACUGUAAGAAUAAGGAUCGGCUAACUCCGUG